GUUUUUUUAGUAUAAAAGUAUAAUUGCUUUCCAAGCAAAAGGUUUAACUAUAAAGUUAAAAAAAAUA
RNAcentral lists this transfer RNA (67 nucleotides) under Plaxiphora albida. RNAcentral's name for it is "tRNA-Gly". The record is from RNAcentral. Lineage: Eukaryota; Metazoa; Mollusca; Polyplacophora; Chitonida; Mopaliidae.